CAUUAGGUUACUUAAAGCAAGUAUUGAUCUCUUAAAUCAAAUUAUAGUAGUUAGCGUUUACUUCUAAUGG
RNAcentral lists this transfer RNA (70 nucleotides) under Evacanthus acuminatus. RNAcentral describes it as "tRNA-Lys". RNAcentral also lists the same sequence under 2 other names. The record is from RNAcentral. Lineage: Eukaryota; Metazoa; Arthropoda; Insecta; Hemiptera; Cicadellidae.